RNAcentral lists this ribosomal RNA (530 nucleotides) under uncultured bacterium. Its description in RNAcentral is "partial 16S ribosomal RNA". It matches the Rfam family "Bacterial small subunit ribosomal RNA", at positions 355 to 878 of the family's 1533-position model. The record is from RNAcentral.
UAGGGAAUCUUCCACAAUGGACGCAAGUCUGAUGGAGCAACGCCGCGUGAGUGAAGAAGGUUUUCGGACCGUAAAGCUCUGUUGUUGGUGAAGAAGGAUAGAGGUAGUAACUGGCCUUUAUUUGACGGUAAUCAACCAGAAAGUCACGGCUAACUACGUGCCAGCAGCCGCGGUAAUACGUAGGUGGCAAGCGUUGUCCGGAUUUAUUGGGCGUAAAGCGAGCGCAGGCGGAAGAAUAAGUCUGAUGUGAAGGCCCUCGGCUUAACCGAGGAAUUGCAUCGGAAACUGUUUUCUUGAGUGCAGAAGAGGAGAGUAGAACUCCAUGUGUAGCGGUGGAAUGCGUAGAUAUAUGGAAGAAUACCAGUGGCGAAGGCGGCUCUCUGGUCUGCAACUGACGCUGAGGCUCGAAAGCAUGGUAGCGAACAGGAUUAGAUACCCUGGUAGUCCAUGCCGUAAACGAUGAGUGCUAAGUGUUGGGAGGCUUCCGCCUCUCAGUGCUGCAGCUAACGCAUUAAGCACUCCGCCUGGGG